RNA transcript from Onychomys torridus (southern grasshopper mouse), 1619 nucleotides. It is a transcript of the gene named putative mitochondrial import inner membrane translocase subunit Tim8 A-B, with no coding region annotated. The record is from RefSeq and is a predicted model, not a curated record. The transcript is spliced from 4 exons. NCBI's taxonomy places the organism in Eukaryota, Metazoa, Chordata, Mammalia, Rodentia, Cricetidae.
CAAAAAAGGUGCUUGCUCGCAUGUAUGUUUGCGCACCACCUGCAUGCCUGUGCCGACAGAGCUCAGAGACGGAACUGGAGUUGCAGAUGGUCGUGAGCUGCCAUGGGGGUCUGGGAACUACCUCAGUCUUUUUCAAGGGCAUUGGACUCUUAAACCGUCUGAAACUCUGAACCCUCUCCGGCCCUCUAGUGAUAUUUCCAUCCUUCUUUUAUUUCCCGUUUUUGACCAAUAUCUUCCCGAGUUAAAGAGCUGAAGGUCCAGUGGUCAUGUUCCAAAGGGAAGAGGCCAGGCGCGGACGGGUAGGCGGCUGAAGCCAUACACGAGUGUUGAGUGCAUGGUGUCCAUUCGCGGGGCCAUGUCUUUUCAUUCCGCCCCCAUUUCGGAAUGUUGGAACACAUAAAAACAGAACAAACGAGGGGCAAUCUAAAGUCCUGGCGUGAGAGCGCGCCUUACUCCCGAAGACCCCCUCCUAGCUGCACUCGAGCCUGGGAGACUGGGGGGAUGGCGGCAGUCUGGUCCGCGGUCGGACACUGUCAUCAGUUAGGACCUGGUAAAAUGAGGUCCAAUUAGAAUUAAGAGCCCUGUGUAGGGCUUUUGUUUCUUCGCAAUUCUAACUCCAGUCAAGUUUUAUCUUCGAGAAUCUCAGCCAACGGAUUUAGGAUAAACCACAGGUCACGAGAACACAUCUGCCAUCGCUUCGAUCAUUGUCUUCUUCAUAUUCAUUGAUCUUGACGGGCAUUUCAUAAAACCAUCAGCUUGUUCGUUAAAAGAUUUGGAAAGCCUUACAGGGUCUAAUAGUGUGAACACUUUAAAAUCUUUAGAGAGGCCGAGCCAGACCUGCAGGAUGAAGUCCCGAAGCUGCCCGAGGCAGCGCACACUUCCGGUUCCUGUUCCUAGCCGGAGCACUUCCGCCCCUGCGGCUCGUUGGCAUGGAGGCCGGCUGGUCCUCCCCGGUGAGCAGCGUUGACGCCGCAGACCCGCAGCUGCAGCGGUUCGUGGAGGUGGAGACGCAGAAACAGCGGGUGCAGCUGCUGGUCCACCACAUGACUGAGCUGUGCUGGGAGAAGUGCAUGGACAAGCCCGGGCCCAGGCUGGACGGCCGGGCCGAGGUCUGCUUGGUGAAUUGCGUCGAGCGCUUCAUCGAUACGAGCCAGUUCAUCCUGAAUCGACUGGAGCAGAUCCAGAAAGCCAGACCAUUCUUCUCUGAAAGCCUCUCUGACUGAUCUCGGCGUUUCCCUCCUUGGAAAAGGAAGCGAAGCAGCUGUUGUGAUGAGAACUGCAGGUUGACUAUGGUGACCAUUGUGAUACCUCAGAUGAGCUUCCUCUUCAAAACAUGGAGACCCUGCACAGAUGCCUGACACCUGUUCUGGACCUCCCAGUUGCAAGAAUGCUUCUCCGAAUUGACAAAUGCAGUUUGCAGAACAGAGGAAAAUCACAUUCCUCAGGUUUUCCUCCAGCCACUUAUCAGCAGUGUGAGGAAAAGAGCAUCGCCAUCCGUGGGGAAAGCGCCGAGGAAAGUUCCCUAUUUCCUAGCUUGGGAGAGAACUCUCCACUCCUUAUGCAUUUGUGCACAUCAGCGCUCACCAACCCGGAGCUCCCCAACCCUGGAUCGCCCCGCC